Molecule: long non-coding RNA, 278 nt
Organism: Empidonax traillii (willow flycatcher)
Lineage: Eukaryota; Metazoa; Chordata; Aves; Passeriformes; Tyrannidae
Exons: 3
Source: RefSeq, a predicted model, not a curated record
AUUCUUGGAGAGAUUGUCUCUCAGAAACUCUGUCAGUCUUGCCGGUCACUGAAAGGCAAGGACUGACUGGGCUCUUCACCAACUGAGCCCUUGCAAAGAACUGUCUUUGAAGAUCACCCGUGUCCUUCAUUGGAAGGCAAAAAAAGUACUGUGUCUGCUGUUUAGACCUUCACUGCAGUAAAGAUUCUCCCUCCCUGGACUUAGUCCAGGGAGGGGGGACAGAGCAGACGCAGAAUCUAGAGGUGAGCUGAGACACGGUCACUGUUCCACUUAUCCAC